This 456-nucleotide ribosomal RNA is filed under the name uncultured bacterium. Its description in RNAcentral is "bacterial SSU rRNA". It matches the Rfam family "Bacterial small subunit ribosomal RNA", at positions 28 to 507 of the family's 1533-position model. The record is from RNAcentral.
GAUAAACGCUGGCGGCGUGCAUUAUGCAUGCAAGUCGAACGGUCUUGGUCUUCGGACCAAGAUAGUGGCAAACGGGUGAGUUAACACGUAGGUAACCCGCCCCUAAGUGUGGAAUAACUUCGGGAAACCGGAGCUAAUACCGCAUGUGGUGGUAAGGCACCAUCACUAAAGCCUCCGGGCGCUUGGGGAGGGGCCUGCGUCCGAUUAGCUUGUUGGUGGGGUAAUGGCCUACCAAGGCGACGAUCGGUAGCUGGUCUGAGAGGAUGGUUAGCCACACUGGAACUGAGAUACGGUCCAGACUCCGUACGGGAGGCAGCAGCAAGGAAUUUUGUGCAAUGGGACGAAAGCCUGACACAGCAACGCCGCGUGGGGGAUGAAGGCCCUCGGGUUGUAAACCCCUUUUCUCAGGGAAGAAUAAUGACGGUACCCGAGGAAUAAGCCUCGGCUAACUACGUG